Coturnix japonica (Japanese quail) is the source of this 547-nucleotide non-coding RNA. The record is from RefSeq and is a predicted model, not a curated record. NCBI's taxonomy places the organism in Eukaryota, Metazoa, Chordata, Aves, Galliformes, Phasianidae.
CGCCCGAGUGGGUGGUUUGAAGCCUCGUCGGCUGGAAUGGGCAGGAGGGGAUUUGAGGGGAUUUGGCUUUGGCGAGUCGCGUUGUUAUGGGGCAAGUUCUUCUCAAAUGUUUAUGUUACCGGUGAACACUGGAGAGGAGAAAGUGAAGCGUGGGCAUAUUGAGUGUAAGGCGUUUGACUUCAGAGCCCUUUGAAGAUGUUCCAGGACGUACUUACGCUUUGUAAACAAGAAUGCUGACAGAAGAUGAAGCAAGGAACAAUAGCUUCCUUCAUAUUCAGUUCAGGAAGAGUGAGUUGUUUUGUUUUCUUCCUGUUCAUCCUUCUGGUAUGUCAAAAAGGCCUGCUUCACAAAUGCAUGGGACUAGACAGAGAUCUCCAGGUCACUGUGUAAAUCCACCCAUUUUGUACCCUGCUGGCAAUGUUGUCUGUAUCACUGACGGAAGAUGGUGUGCUCCUUCCUUAGCCUCAGUGCAGCAGAUGGAGAUAUACUGACCCAUACAACUCAGGGGGAUCUAUCUGCAUUCUUUCCUCAGUCACUUUUCCUCAAG